AUUGAACGCUGGCGGCAGGCCUAACACAUGCAAGUCGAACGGUAGCACAGAAGAGCUUGCUCUUUGGGUGGCGAGUGGCGGACGGUUGAGUAAUGUUUGGGAAACUGCCCGACGGAGGGUGAUAACUACUGGAAACGGUAGCUAAUACCGCAUAACGUCGCAAGACCAAAGUGGGGUACCUUCGGUCCUCACACCAUAGGAUGUGCCCAGAUGGGAUUAGCUAGUAGGUGGGGUAAUGGCUCACCUAGGUGACGAUGCCUAGCUGGUCUGAGAGGAUGAACAGACACACUGGAACUGAGACACGGUCGAGACUCCUAAGGGAGGCAGCAGUGGGGAAUAUUGCACAAUGGGCGCAAGCCUGAUGCAGCCAUGCCGCGUGUAUGAAGAAGGCCUUCGGGUUGUAAAGUACUUUCAGCGGGGAGGAAGGCGGUGAGGUUAAUAACCUUGCCGAUUGACGUUACCCGCAGAAGAAGCACCGGCUAACUCCGUGCCAGCCGCCGCGGUAA
This 506-nucleotide ribosomal RNA is filed under the name uncultured bacterium. RNAcentral describes it as "partial 16S ribosomal RNA". It matches the Rfam family "Bacterial small subunit ribosomal RNA", at positions 30 to 523 of the family's 1533-position model. The record is from RNAcentral.